Molecule: ribosomal RNA, 263 nt
Filed under: uncultured bacterium
Lineage: Bacteria
Description: partial 16S ribosomal RNA
Rfam family: Bacterial small subunit ribosomal RNA
Source: RNAcentral
UACAGAGGGGGGCAAGCGUUGUUCGGAAUUACUGGGCGUAAAGGGGCGCGUAGGCGGCCCCGCUAAGUCGAACGUGAAAAUCCCCCGGGGCUCAACCCCGGGAACUGCGUCCGAUACUGGCAGGCUUGAAUCCGGGGAGAGGGAUGCGGAAUUCCAGGUGUAGCGGUGAAAUGCGUAGAUAUCUGGAGGAACACCGGUGGCGAAGGCGGCAUCCUGGACCGGUAUUGACGCUGAGGCGCGAAAAGCUAGGGGGAGCAAACGGG